RNAcentral lists this ribosomal RNA (427 nucleotides) under fungal sp. ARIZ L117. RNAcentral describes it as "eukaryotic LSU rRNA". The stretch from base 123 to 276 matches the Rfam family "5.8S ribosomal RNA". Lineage: Eukaryota; Fungi. The record is from RNAcentral.
AACAUACCUAAACGUUGCUUCGGCGGGAAUAGACGGCCCCGUGAAACGGGCCGCCCCCGCCAGAGGACCCUUAACUCUGUUUCUAUAAUGUUUCUUCUGAGUAAAACAAGCAAAUAAAUUAAAACUUUCAACAACGGAUCUCUUGGCUCUGGCAUCGAUGAAGAACGCAGCGAAAUGCGAUAAGUAAUGUGAAUUGCAGAAUUCAGUGAAUCAUCGAAUCUUUGAACGCACAUUGCGCCCGCCAGUAUUCUGGCGGGCAUGCCUGUUCGAGCGUCAUUACAACCCUCAGGCCCCCGGGCCUGGCGUUGGGGAUCGGCGGAGCCUCUCUGUGGGCACACGCCGUCCCCCAAAUACAGUGGCGGUCCCGCCGCAGCUUCCAUCGCGUAGUAGCUAACACCUCGCGACUGGAGAGCGGCGCGGCCACGCC